GAAAAGGUGUGAGUCGGGGGGUUUGAGGGUGGAGGAAUGAGUGAAAUGUGAUCCAUGAUUGGAAGGAAAAAGAAAGACCAUAGCCACGUGGAUUUAAUGAUUUUAAAACAUAAAUAAAAUUACAGCUCAGUUCAAAGUUAACGCCGUCUCAAUACACUUAACGAUUGGGGUAAAAUGUUGUAAAAUGUUUGCAUUUCAUAAGGACUUGAGGAAAAAGUGUGAUAAGUGAUUGGAAGGAAAAAGAAAGACCAUAGCCACAUGGAUUUAAUGAUUUUAAAACAUAAAAAAAAAAUUACAGCUCAAUUCAAAGUUAAUGUCGUCUAAAUACACUUAAUGGUUGGGGUAAAAUGUUGUAAACUGUUUGCAUUUCAUAAGGACUUGAGGAAAAACUUGAGGACCAAACUGAGAUUUUCACACAAAUAUAAGGACCAAGAGAGGAAUUAAGCCUAAAAUAAAAAAUUCAUCUCAGCAUCAAUUAACGUCGUUUGAGACAACUUAACGGUUAGGGUAAAAUGUGUGCAUUUUUACAAAAAUUAUGACCCAAUUGAGACAGUUCAAAACUUGAGGACCAAACUGAGAUUGGCAUACAAAUAUG
Molecule: long non-coding RNA, 595 nt
Filed under: Vigna radiata
Lineage: Eukaryota; Viridiplantae; Streptophyta; Magnoliopsida; Fabales; Fabaceae
Description: long non-coding RNA (VRAD_LNC017736)
Source: RNAcentral